UUGGACGUUUGACAUUUCAGGGUCCAGCAACAAAAAACCCCGACUUAAUCGGGGUUUUUUGUUAUCUGAAUCUUCCUUUUUCAAGGAAAUCAGAUAGUUGCUUGGUUUUAGUAUUGGGCUCUGAGCCCUUUUUUU
Non-coding RNA from Vibrio sp., 135 nucleotides. The record is from Rfam. NCBI's taxonomy places the organism in Bacteria, Pseudomonadati, Pseudomonadota, Gammaproteobacteria, Vibrionales, Vibrionaceae.